This 1265-nucleotide long non-coding RNA is filed under the name Homo sapiens (human). RNAcentral describes it as "HSALNT0219966". The record is from RNAcentral. Lineage: Eukaryota; Metazoa; Chordata; Mammalia; Primates; Hominidae.
CAUCUGGGGAGGUCUCAAGGUAGAGACAGUGCUGUGGUUGACCUUGAAGGACACGUGGGCCCUGUGACCAGACAGGGGAGGAGCAACUGGAAAUAUUAUGACAACUGGAUCUUUUUCAUUCUAAAUAAGAAGACAAGAAGGACCACCCAAGAGUAACAGGAACAAUUAAUCAAUUUAAUUAUCAGCAGUAAAUUACCAGUAAUUCUCUUGGUAACAUUAUGUGUUAGUAUGAUUAAAGUAAAUAUAAGAAUAGAUUUUUUUUUCCUUUUUGGCAGGGCAUGGUAGGGUGAUGAUGGUUGGAGUCGGAGAGUUGAUUUUCAAAACAAAAAAGAUUCCAAUAAACCCAGGAGAGUCAAAUCUCAGACAUGUCUCCAAGCAUGAGGUGUUGAACUUGGUACCUGAUGGCUUUCCUUCCCUAGAGCUGAUGUAACAAAUCUGUGGCUUAAAAACAACAGAAAUUUCUUUUCUCACAGUUUUGGAGACCAAAGUGUGAAUUCAAGGUGUUUCUGCACCACAUUCUUCUCCCUGAAGUCCUUCAAGGGAGAAUCCUUCCUUGUCUCUUUCAGUUCCCAGUAAUUCCAGACAUUCCUUGGCUGAAGGCUGCAUAAUCCUAAUCUCUGCCUCCAUGUCUACAUGGCUGUCUGACCUGUGUGUCUCAGUGUCUGAACUCUCCCUCUGCCUUUUUCUUAUAAGGACAUCUGCCACUGGAUUUAGAGCCCACGUUAAGUCCAGGAUGAUUUCUGAGCUCCUUAGCUUAAUUCAAUCUCCUUAGCUUAAUUCAAUUUGGAUCUUAUUUGUCCAAAUAAGGUCACAGUCACAGGUUCAAGGGAUUAAGACACAGGAGUAUCAUUUGAGGGGCCACAAUUUCAACCCACAACGCUGAAGAUGCAUUCUUUGCUGGCAUGAGAAUGUGCCCCUGGAUGUUCAAUAAUCUUUGUUGAUGGACUAGCAGCCUUUUAAACAGUAGAGGAGGGUUUGACCGGAUUCAGUGAGAGGAGACUGGAGGGUGUAGCAAGUCUCUGUAAGUAAACUGCACUUGGAACAAAAGAGGUUAUGUAAUUUACUGGAUGGAUAGAUUAAAUUCAUUUUACUAAGCACAGUAUAUUCUGAAACCCUGUCAAAAGCUUUCCUGAUAGACUCUGAGGCUGGGAAUCCAAGAUCCCUGUGAAAGUCAUCCAUGUGAUAUUUUGUUGUUCAUAACAAGCUUUGUUGUUUCUUCUUGUCGUCGUUGUUGUUUUUUCCUUUAAAAAUAGAAAACUUCGAAU